Long non-coding RNA from Papilio xuthus (Asian swallowtail), 309 nucleotides. RefSeq lists it as uncharacterized. The transcript has 3 exons. The record is from RefSeq and is a predicted model, not a curated record. NCBI's taxonomy places the organism in Eukaryota, Metazoa, Arthropoda, Insecta, Lepidoptera, Papilionidae.
AUAUUGAUUACACAGUUAUAAAAAGGCGGUUAUUCAUAGAUUUUUUUCAGCAACAAAUUCAAAUUCAAGAUGAAAUUGUGUUUAUUAAUUCUGGCAGUUCUUAUUGUCGCGGCAGAAAGUAGAUGGACAACACCGCCCAGAGGUUUCACAUGCAUGUGUGCACCAGGUCCUCCCGUGUGUGCCAGUAACUAUCACACGUACAGCGGCGUAUGCAACAUGAAUUGCGCACAAAAUUGGAUACGUCAGAAGCUUUACGUCUUGUACGACGGACCGUGCCUUUUAACAAAUCAUUAAAACGGAAAAUUUGUU